UCAGUUGGUGGACUGCCCUCGA
Molecule: non-coding RNA, 22 nt
Filed under: Arabidopsis thaliana (thale cress)
Lineage: Eukaryota; Viridiplantae; Streptophyta; Magnoliopsida; Brassicales; Brassicaceae
Source: RNAcentral